This 853-nucleotide long non-coding RNA is filed under the name Phasianus colchicus (ring-necked pheasant). RNAcentral's name for it is "lncRNA (ENSPCLG00000014123.1)". Lineage: Eukaryota; Metazoa; Chordata; Aves; Galliformes; Phasianidae. The record is from RNAcentral.
GAGGCGGCCAUCGCGGUCCAACCCCCCCCAGGCUCUGGGGACACCCAGAGGGACCCCCCUGAAGGACCCCCCCCACGAGGAGCCCCCCGUGGGGCGGCCCCCCAGCGCCGCGGCACCGCUGAGCGCACGCCCUAUUUAUAGUGCAGCGGUGGCCGGACCCCCCCACGUCACCUCUGCGUCCCCCCAUGUCACCUCUGUGCCCCCAUGUCCCCCCCUGCGUCCCCCCAUGUCACCUCUGUGCCCCCCCAUGUCCCCUCUGUGUCCCCCCAUGUCCCCUCUGUGUCCCUCUGGGAGCUGGGGGGGGGUGGAAGGGGGAACUGGGAAGAAACUGGGAGCUGGGGGGGGAACUGGGGAGGAACUGAGGGCAAACUGGGAGGCACUGGGAGGCACUGGGGGUCCCACCCGUGUCGCCCCCCCGCUCCACCCUGUGACUCAGUGGCCACCACCACCGGCACUGCGGUCCCCGCUGCUGUCCCCAGUGUCCCCAGUGUUGUCCCCGAUGCCCCCACUGCUGUCCCCAGUGAUGCCCCCAACGUCCCCAGUGCCACCACCAGUGUCCCCACUGCCAUCCCCAAGGCCACCACCAGCACUGCUGACCCCGAUGACAACAAUGUCCCCAAACCGCUGUCCCCAGCGAUGUCCCCAAGGGGUGACAUCCGAACGGCUGUCCCCAAACGGGUGUCCCCAAACGGGUGUCCCCAAAUGGGUGUCACCAAGGGAUGUCCCCACUGAUGUCCCCCCCCCCCGGGUCGCCCUGCUGGCCGCCGGAGGCACUGCGGGGAUGGGGGGGGGGAGGGGACAGCGCUGCGUGACAGCGUGUCACGUGACACCGCCGGGGGACACCAACGUGUGA